Molecule: transfer RNA, 75 nt
Filed under: Microcaldota archaeon
Lineage: Archaea; Nanobdellati; Microcaldota
Description: tRNA-Ile
Rfam family: tRNA
About the family: Transfer RNA (tRNA) molecules are approximately 80 nucleotides in length. Their secondary structure includes four short double-helical elements and three loops (D, anti-codon, and T loops). Further hydrogen bonds mediate the characteristic L-shaped molecular structure. tRNAs have two regions of fundamental functional importance: the anti-codon, which is responsible for specific mRNA codon recognition, and the 3' end, to which the tRNAs corresponding amino acid is attached (by aminoacyl-tRNA synthetases). tRNAs cope with the degeneracy of the genetic code in two manners: having more than one tRNA (with a specific anti-codon) for a particular amino acid; and 'wobble' base-pairing, i.e. permitting non-standard base-pairing at the 3rd anti-codon position.
Source: RNAcentral
GGGCCCGUAGCUCAGCCAGGUUGGAGCGUUCGACUGAUAAUCGAAAGGUCUUGUGUUCAAAUCACAACGGGCCCA